UGCUAUAAUGCAGUCGACGAACUCUGGUAUUGAUUGGUGCUUGCAUCAUGAUUUACAUUUGAGUGAGUGGCGAACUGGUGAGUAACACGUGGGAAACCUGCCCAGAAGCGGGGGAUAACACCUGGAAACAGAUGCUAAUACCGCAUAACAACUUGGACCGCAUGGUCCGAGUUUGAAAGAUGGCUUCGGCUAUCACUUUUGGAUGGUCCCGCGGCGUAUUAGCUAGAUGGUGGGGUAACGGCUCACCAUGGCAAUGAUACGUAGCCGACCUGAGAGGGUAAUCGGCCACAUUGGGACUGAGACACGGCCCAAACUCCUACGGGAGGCAGCAGUAGGGAAUCUUCCACAAUGGACGAAAGUCUGAUGGAGCAACGCCGCGUGAGUGAAGAAGGGUUUCGGCUCGUAAAACUCUGUUGUUAAAGAAGAACAUAUCUGAGAGUAACUGUUCAGGUAUUGACGGUAUUUAACCAGAAAGCCACGGCUAACUACGUGCCAGCAGCCGCGGUAAUACGUAGGUGGCAAGCGUUGUCCGGAUUUAUUGGGCGUAAAGCGAGCGCAGGCGGUUUUUUAAGUCUGAUGUGAAAGCCUUCGGCUCAACCGAAGAAGUGCAUCGGAAACUGGGAAACUUGAGUGCAGAAGAGGACAGUGGAACUCCAUGUGUAGCGGUGAAAUGCGUAGAUAUAUGGAAGAACACCAGUGGCGAAGGCGGCUGUCUGGUCUGUAACUGACGCUGAGGCUCGAAAGUAUGGGUAGCAAACAGGAUUAGAUACCCUGGUAGUCCAUACCGUAAACGAUGAAUGCUAAGUGUUGGAGGGUUUCCGCCCUUCAGUGCUGCAGCUAA
This 841-nucleotide ribosomal RNA is filed under the name Lactiplantibacillus pentosus. RNAcentral describes it as "bacterial SSU rRNA". It matches the Rfam family "Bacterial small subunit ribosomal RNA", at positions 45 to 855 of the family's 1533-position model. Lineage: Bacteria; Bacillati; Bacillota; Bacilli; Lactobacillales; Lactobacillaceae. The record is from RNAcentral.